RNAcentral lists this ribosomal RNA (327 nucleotides) under uncultured soil bacterium. RNAcentral describes it as "bacterial SSU rRNA". It matches the Rfam family "Bacterial small subunit ribosomal RNA", at positions 26 to 378 of the family's 1533-position model. The record is from RNAcentral.
AGAACGAACGCUGGCGGCAUGCCUAAUACAUGCAAGUCGAACGAACUCUUCGGAGUUAGUGGCGCACGGGUGCGUAACGCGUGGGAAUCUGCCCUUGGGUUCGGAAUAACAGUUGGAAACGACUGCUAAUACCGGAUGAUGACGAAAGUCCAAAGAUUUAUCGCCCAGGGAUGAGCCCGCGUAGGAUUAGCUAGUUGGUGAGGUAAAGGCUCACCAAGGCGACGAUCCUUAGCUGGUCUGAGAGGAUGAUCAGCCACACGUGGGACUGAGACACGGCCCAGACUCCGUACGGGAGGCAGCAGGUAGGGAAUAGUUGGACAAGUGGGA